UGGGUCUGAUAUUGCCGGUAGCUUCCCUCUGCUUGGAUCACAUCUUAACUGACCCUGAUUUUCGACAGUACGCUGUCCGUUCGGCUUCAUUUGCUGUUUCUCUUAUGGCAGCCUACGUGGCAAAAUGCUCUGUUGACGAACAUAAGUCCAGUUGCAUUAUUAAGUUUUUGGAAGCUGGAAUGUGUUGCUGGGACGUGCUUUUUUGUUUGGUGGCACUGGUGUACACAUUGUUUGGAGGUUAUCUAAGACAACCUCUCGUGGUGUUCCAGAUCUUCAUACUUUGCAGCUCCGUCAUCUUCCAUUUUCUCCAUUUUCUCCAUUUUCUUUGGAA
Molecule: long non-coding RNA, 331 nt
Filed under: Aquilegia coerulea
Lineage: Eukaryota; Viridiplantae; Streptophyta; Magnoliopsida; Ranunculales; Ranunculaceae
Description: long non-coding RNA (ACOE_LNC000620)
Source: RNAcentral